UGACCCGUAGCUCAGGGGUAGAGCGCCUCGCUGAUAACGGGGAGGACGGCGGUUCGAACCCGUCUGGGUCGA
This 72-nucleotide transfer RNA is filed under the name Phycisphaerae bacterium. Its description in RNAcentral is "tRNA-Ile". It matches the Rfam family "tRNA". From Rfam's summary of the family: Transfer RNA (tRNA) molecules are approximately 80 nucleotides in length. The record is from RNAcentral. Lineage: Bacteria; Pseudomonadati; Planctomycetota; Phycisphaerae.